UCAUUAAAAUGGUCAGCAGGAAUAUUACUUAUCUUAAGCAACUCCAGAGUCAUGGAUCCUUGAGGGAAAGGCAGGAGACAUGAGGAUAAAAGGAGGCCAGGGGUGAGCCCGAAACGUAAUGAAAAAAAGAUACUAAACAGAAUAUCGUUUAGUAUAAUCUCUCUAGAGCUUCAUUUGGAUAACAGCUUUUCAACUACCCAGAAUGGGAUAGGAAAUGAGAACAUUGCCUUAUCAUCAGAUGGACCUUCAGAUUCAAGGUGUCCUACCUGCUUUGAAAGAAAACUGAAUUUGCCUUUCCUAAAUCCUUGCUUCCAUAGAUACUGUUUUACUUGUAUCUUAGAAUGGUCAGACAGAAAAGCAGAGUGUCCACUCUGUAAAAAGCAUUUUCACUCUUUCACACUAUAAGAUCUGACACUG
Molecule: long non-coding RNA, 417 nt
Filed under: Pogona vitticeps (central bearded dragon)
Lineage: Eukaryota; Metazoa; Chordata; Lepidosauria; Squamata; Agamidae
Description: lncRNA (ENSPVIG00000010195.1)
Source: RNAcentral